Molecule: long non-coding RNA, 1075 nt
Organism: Raphanus sativus (radish)
Lineage: Eukaryota; Viridiplantae; Streptophyta; Magnoliopsida; Brassicales; Brassicaceae
Exons: 2
Source: RefSeq, a predicted model, not a curated record
ACAAGUAGAGAAAAUGGGAAUGUACUUUCGUGCUGCUGAGUUAUACGCAAGUGGGAUCAAGAUUUUUUUUUUAAACGUUUUCAAGGUCAAUGGAGAGUAUUUGAGAGAGAUAGUGGGUGGGAGAGGUGGCCACCACCAACAUAAACUCCAACAGUUCAAGAUGCGUCUUGAUGCUUUUUCAUCAUGUGGAAGAUAAAUUUAUCUCAUUGUUUGGAGUGACUCUACAUAUAUAAUUUUGUCAUCCAGGGACAUCAAAAGAGGCAAACGCUCUAGAUAUAAAUUAUUUUCUUUUACGAAAAAAGUUUGUUUAUUUUCCAAUCGGUCCAUGUAUGACAAUCUAUUUCAAAAUAAGUGAACCUGACCUCUCUGGCUCCCUUUCUUGAACUGGACAAAUUGUGCGCUCUUAACUUUGCAUAUCGCAGGGAAAAGAGUGCGUUAUGGAAAGCUUAACUAGAGAAGGAAGGAUACAAAGUUUUUAAAAGCUUCCAGACUUUUGGUCGUGUUUCAGUAAGAAGGCAGUAUAAAGGCUUGGCCGUCUACUCCCAGAAGUCCCUUGGGUUAGUCAUCUCUACUCUUCCCUGCUAUUAGACAAAUAACUUUUUCACCACUGCUGUUUUCUACGUUGCCAAAUAUGUGUGUAGGCAUCAAUUCCGUUGAUUUGGAUGCUAGUUUUCUGCCAAAACCCUCAAAAGUGAGCACUUUUGUUAGAUUAGUUAACGAAAUUAGUACCUUACAUGUUUGUGUACUGACUUCCAAGCCAAAGAUUGUUUUCUUGUUCAUUUCUUUCCUAACCUCAGAUGAGAAGAUGGAAGAGGAGACAAAGACAAUCGAAUAUCAUUAUUCACACGGUAUAUAUAUACAUAGCUUACGAGCUUGGAGUCUAUGAAACUGAGUGUAAGUCUUUAACAAGGCAUCUUAUUGAGUAAUGCAGAUUCUGAGAACAAUUACGAGAGAUACAUCUUUCGACUAUUACGCUGUCGAUCGUAUGUUUCUUUCUUCAAACAAUUAUUUGAUCUGUAACCAAAGUUGAUUACUUAACACUGAUCUUAAAUCAUUUUGAUCUUCUCUUUAAUUU